This 1049-nucleotide ribosomal RNA is filed under the name unidentified archaeon. RNAcentral's name for it is "bacterial SSU rRNA". It matches the Rfam family "Archaeal small subunit ribosomal RNA", at positions 1 to 1054 of the family's 1478-position model. The record is from RNAcentral.
UCCGGUUGAUCCUGCCAGAGGUUACUGCUAUCGAGGUUCGACUAAGCCAUGCGAGUCGAAUGUAGCAAUACAUGGCGUACUGCUCAGUAACACGUGGACAACCUGCCCUUAGGUUGGGUAUAAACCCGGGAAACUGGGUAUAAUCCCCUAUAAGUCUCGGCUGCUGGAAUGCACCGAGAUUAAAAGCUCCGGCGCCUAAGGAUGGGUCUGCGGCCUAUCAGGUAGUAGUGGGUGUAGCGUACCUACUAGCCUACGACGGGUACGGGUUGUGAGAGCAAGAGCCCGGAGAUGGAUUCUGAGACACGAAUCCAGGCCCUACGGGGUGCAGCAGGCGCGAAAACUUUACAAUGCUGGCAACAGCGAUAAGGGAACCUCGAGUGCCAGGUUACAAAUCUGGCUGUCGAGAUGCCUAAAAAGCAUUUCAUAGCAAGGGCCGGGCAAGACCGGUGCCAGCCGCCGCGGUAACGCCGGCGGCUCGAGUGGUAACCGUUAUUAUUGGGUCUAAAGGGUCUGUAGCCGGCCGGAUAAGUCUCUUGAGAAAUCUGGCAGCUUAACUGUCAGGCUUUCAGGAGAUACUGUCUGGCUCGAGGCCGGGAGAGGUGAGAGGUACUUCAGGGGUAGGGGUGAAAUCUUGUAAUCCUUGAAGGACCACCAGUGGCGAAAGCGUCUCACCAGAACGGACCUGACGGCAAGGGACGAAAGCUAGGGGGCACGAACCGGGAUUAGAUACCCGGGGUAGUCCUAGCCGUAAACGAUACUCGCUAGGUGUCGGCCACGGUGCGACCGUUGUCGGUGCCGUAGGGAAGCCGUGAAGCGAGCCACCUGGGAAGUACGGCCGCAAGGCUGAAACUUAAAGGAAUUGGCGGGGGAGCACCACAACGGGUGGAGCUUGCGGUUUAAUUGGAUUCAACGCCGGAAAUCUUACCGGGACCGACAGCAAUAUGAAGGCCAGGCUGAAGACUUUGCCGGAUUAGCUGAGAGGUGGUGCAUGGCCGUCGUCAGUUCGUACUGUGAAGCAUCCUGUUAAGUCAGGUAACGAGCGAGACCCA